GUUAGGCCAGUGAUUGAAGCCAUUGUAACAGUUCAGGCAGGAGUGGAUUGCACCUUGGACCUCUUGGUGUUGGAGAUGGAGGGAAGCAAAUGGAUGAACAAAUGGAUGUGGGAGAUAUUUUAGGAGGUAAAAUGAAAGGCUUGGAACAUCUUUUCUAUCCCCUGCUCCUGUAUUUAUUGGUUAGUGCUGCCUUAUAUUCUGAGGUCAAUUUCUGUCUUUUCAGGGACUCUUUUCCUGACAUUCCAGACUGUGUUAUACAGAAGCCCAAUAAAUGUUUGUGGAACUGACAUGAUAGAGAAAGUUCUUGUAAAGAUGGAAGAGAUUUGAGUGUGGAUAUGGACUAAGGAAAAAGUUCUAGCAGAGAGGUGAAGAUUGAAGAUGCUAAAGAGAGAAGUGAUGAAGAUAAUCAAAGUUCAGCCCAUUUCCUUCAGGUGCUCCUCUAUGUUGUCCUUGGACUCAUGGAGAGAAAGCUGGCCCUGAGCUCUUGGGGGCACUGCUCACCAGGAACUAAUUGACACAUGGAUUUGGAAGUUCAGUUGGCGAGUCGGCUGCUAUUUCACAGGCAUCCCCUUUUGCCCCUGAGAGUGGUUCUUCCAGCCACCAAUUUAAAGUGGAGGGAGAGGGACAAAAAACCACCUGCCAGGUAUUAUGCUUAUUACCUGGGUGUCAAAAUCAUCCAUACACCAAACUUCUGUGACAAGCAGUUUACCUAUAUAACAAACCUGCACAUGUACUCCUGAACUGAAAAUAAAAGUUAAAAAAAAACAAUAAAAUGGUAAAAAUGUCCCACAUGGGCAGUAGACAAUGACAGUUGUUGCUCUGGAGGUGGGAAAGGCUGAAUGGUGGUCUUGAAAUAGAUGGGACAUGGAAUACACACACAGGCGAGCACUCACGCUGCAGGGCAGAGGACCAGACACCUCUCAUGUGGACUCCUGCUGACUGGCGAACUCCCCUGUGUCUUCAGCCUCUUCCCCACACCCCAUUCCCCCACUGCCUUUUUUGGAAACAUGGCUAUUGCCUGAGGACAGCCCUGCUCUGGCAGCGGUCUC
This 1049-nucleotide long non-coding RNA is filed under the name Homo sapiens (human). RNAcentral's name for it is "HSALNT0004659". The record is from RNAcentral. Lineage: Eukaryota; Metazoa; Chordata; Mammalia; Primates; Hominidae.